AGUGAACGCUGGCGGCGUGCCUAACACAUGCAAGUCGAACGAGAAAUUUACCGCUUGCGGUAAAGAGUAAAGUGGCGAACGGGUGAGUAACACGUAGGUAACCUGCCCCUGAAACAGGGAUAACUUCGCGAAAGCGUUGCUAAUACCUGAUAUUGUUCCCAUAAAUAUGGUUAUUGGAAUGAAAGGUGACCUCUUCAUGAAAGUUACCGUUCAGGGAGGGGCUUGCGGACCAUUAGCUUGUUGGUGGGGUAAUGGCCUACCAAGGCAACGAUGGUUAGCUGGUCUGAGAGGAUGAUCAGCCACACUGGAACUGAAACACGGUCCAGACUCCUACGGGAGGCAGCAGUGAGGAAUUUUGCGCAAUGGGGGAAACCCUGACGCAGCAACGCCGCGUGAGUGAAGAAGGCUUUCGGGUCGUAAAGCUCUGU
This 428-nucleotide ribosomal RNA is filed under the name uncultured bacterium. RNAcentral describes it as "bacterial SSU rRNA". It matches the Rfam family "Bacterial small subunit ribosomal RNA", at positions 29 to 436 of the family's 1533-position model. The record is from RNAcentral.